RNAcentral lists this ribosomal RNA (503 nucleotides) under uncultured bacterium. Its description in RNAcentral is "partial 16S ribosomal RNA". It matches the Rfam family "Bacterial small subunit ribosomal RNA", at positions 30 to 523 of the family's 1533-position model. The record is from RNAcentral.
AUUGAACGCUGGCGGCAGGCUUAACACAUGCAAGUCGAGCGGAGUGAUGGUGCUUGCACUAUCACUUAGCGGCGGACGGGUGAGUAAUGCUUAGGAAUCUGCCUAUUAGUGGGGGACAACAUCUCGAAAGGGAUGCUAAUACCGCAUACGUCCUACGGGAGAAAGCAGGGGAUCACUUGUGACCUUGCGCUAAUAGAUGAGCCUAAGUCGGAUUAGCUAGCUGGUGGGGUAAAGGCCUACCAAGGCGACGAUCUGUAGCGGGUCUGAGAGGAUGAUCCGCCACACUGGGACUGAGAAACGGCCCAGACGCCUACGGGAGGCAGCAGUGGGGAAUAUUGGACAAUGGGGGGAACCCUGAUCCAGCCAUGCCGCGUGUGUGAAGAAGGCCUUAUGGUUGUAAAGCACUUUAAGCGAGGAGGAGGCUCUUUUGGUUAAUACCCAAGAUGAGUGGACGUUACUCGCAGAAUAAGCACCGGCUAACUCUGUACCAGCAGCCGCCGUAA